RNAcentral lists this ribosomal RNA (510 nucleotides) under uncultured bacterium. Its description in RNAcentral is "bacterial SSU rRNA". It matches the Rfam family "Bacterial small subunit ribosomal RNA", at positions 15 to 518 of the family's 1533-position model. The record is from RNAcentral.
GAUCAUGGCUCAGGAUGAACGCUAGCGACAGGCUUAACACAUGCAAGUCGAGGGGCAGCAUAAAAGUAGCAAUACUUGGUGGCGACCGGCGCACGGGUGAGUAACGCGUAUGCAACCUACCUAUCAGAGGGGAAUAACCCGGCGAAAGUCGGACUAAUACCGCAUAAAACAGGGGCACCGCAUGGUGAUAUUUGUUAAAGAAAUUCGCUGAUAGAUGGGCAUGCGUUCCAUUAGGUAGUUGGUGAGGUAACGGCUCACCAAGCCGACGAUGGAUAGGGGAACUGAGAGGUUGGUCCCCCACACUGGUACUGAGACACGGACCAGACUCCUACGGGAGGCAGCAGUGAGGAAUAUUGGUCAAUGGGCGGGAGCCUGAACCAGCCAAGUCGCGUGAAGGAAGAAGGAUCUAUGGUUCGUAAACUUCUUUUGCAGGGGAAUAAAGUGCAGGACGUGUCCUGUUUUGUAUGUACCCUGAGAAUAAGGAUCGGCUAACUCCGUGCCAGCCGCGGC